AUUGAACGCUGGCGGCAUGCUUUACACAUGCAAGUCGAACGGCAGCGCGGGCUUCGGCCUGGCGGCGAGUGGCGAACGGGUGAGUAAUACAUCGGAACGUGCCCAGUAGUGGGGGAUAGCUCGGCGAAAGCCGGAUUAAUACCGCAUACGACCUGAGGGUGAAAGCGGGGGAUCUUCGGACCUCGCGCUAUUGGAGCGGCCGAUGGCAGAUUAGCUAGUUGGUGGGGUAAAGGCCUACCAAGGCGACGAUCUGUAGCUGGUCUGAGAGGACGACCAGCCGCACUGGGACUGAGACACGGCCCAGACUCCUACGGGAGGCAGCAGUGGGGAAUUUUGGACAAUGGGCGAAAGCCUGAUCCAGCAAUGCCGCGUGUGUGAUGAAGGCCUUCGGGUUGUGAAGCACUUUUGGCGGGAACGAAAAGGACUGUGCCAAUACCACGGUUCGAUGACGGUACCCGCAGAAUAAGCACCGGCUAACUACGUG
RNAcentral lists this ribosomal RNA (484 nucleotides) under uncultured bacterium. RNAcentral's name for it is "partial 16S ribosomal RNA". It matches the Rfam family "Bacterial small subunit ribosomal RNA", at positions 29 to 507 of the family's 1533-position model. The record is from RNAcentral.